Non-coding RNA from Acanthosepion pharaonis, 111 nucleotides. NCBI's taxonomy places the organism in Eukaryota, Metazoa, Mollusca, Cephalopoda, Sepiida, Sepiidae. The record is from the annotation of a GenBank genome assembly.
CUGCCAUAUCACAUUGAAGCACCAGUUCUUAUAUGAUCACUAAAGUUAAGCAAUGUUGAGCUUGAUCAGUACUUAAAUGGGUGACUGCUUGGGAAUACCAGGUGUUGUAAG